This is a small nuclear RNA of Suncus etruscus (white-toothed pygmy shrew), 161 nucleotides long. RefSeq annotates it as U1 spliceosomal RNA. The record is from RefSeq and is a predicted model, not a curated record. Lineage: Eukaryota; Metazoa; Chordata; Mammalia; Eulipotyphla; Soricidae. The transcript has a single exon.
AUACUUACCUGACAGGGGAGAUACCAUGAUCACGAAGGUGAUUUUCCCAGGUGAGGUUUAUCCAUUGCACUCCAGAUUGCACUCCCUGAGAUUUCCCCAAAUGAGGGAAACUCGACUGCAUGAUUUGUGGUAGUGGGGGACUGCGUUCGCGCUCUCCCCUG